AUUGAACGCUGGCGGCAGGCCUAACACAUGCAAGUCGAGCGGAGCGGCGGACGGGUGAGUAAUGCCUAGGAAUCUGCCUGGUAGUGGGGGAUAACGUCCGGAAACGGGCGCUAAUACCGCAUACUAUCAGAUGAGCCUCGGUGGGAUUAGCCAGUUGGUGGGGUAAAGGCCUACCAAGGCGACGAUCCGGAACUGGUCGGAGAGGAUGUUCAGUCACACGGGAACGGAGACACGGUCCAGAGUCCUACGGGAGGCAGCAGUGGGGAAUAGUGGACAAUGGGCGAAAGCCUGAUACAGCCAUGCCGCGUGUGUGAAGAAGGUCUUCGGUGUGUAAAGCAGUUUAAGUUGGGAGGCGUUACAAGCAGAAUAAGCACCGGCUAACUUCGUGCCAGCAGCCGCGGUAAUUC
RNAcentral lists this ribosomal RNA (407 nucleotides) under uncultured bacterium. RNAcentral describes it as "partial 16S ribosomal RNA". It matches the Rfam family "Bacterial small subunit ribosomal RNA", at positions 29 to 526 of the family's 1533-position model. The record is from RNAcentral.